UUCUUCUAAGUGCAUGUCUAAAACCCAGCGAGAUACACUUGGAAGCGGACUUCACUGUGUGUCUCUUGGUGACUCCCCAAACCGGCGACGCCGGUCCCAACACUCAUUUACACUGUCUGGCACACACACUCGCGCUUUGUGAGCAACUGCACUUUUACCAUCAUGGGCAGCCAAAGGACGACUUUUGUAAGCGCUAGGAUCAAAGCGAAGCGCUUCUGCGCUACGCUCACGGUGAAGCUCCUGGUGCCAUAGAGAGUCCCCCGGUUCUCACGCCUGCAGGCUUCAGCCCCAGCGGCAGCGGGCGCACCCGGUCCGAACACGGUGUCGGAGCUCGGAGAGCAUCCCCCAGAGCGCCGCAGACUCGGGCCUGGAGCAUCCUCUGGGGACAGGGAAACCACUCUCCCCGCAGUAGGAGGGGUCCCAGGAAUUGAAGCUCCACGGGAAAUUUCCUGGUAGUUGGAGUGGAGUCUCGGCGGCUCCUCCGAACACAGCAAUCGGUGAGUGAGUGGGACUGAGAGGCCCACGAGGAGUCCGAAGGCCAAAGCGUACACGAUAGAGAGGAAUAGUACGUAGGAGCUGGAGCAGUCCACCAGGCAGCCCCAGGGCGUGCGCACGAAGGCGCCCCAGCCGCACAGCGGGAGCGCCGAGAGCAGCAGACUGGCUGCCCACACGGUCAGCACCACGCCGAGCACCUGGCCCGAUCUUCUGGAGGCUGUCUGGCUCCCCACACCUCUGUGCAUCGUAUAAAAGUUGUAAGAGACUAGGAGAGUCGCCUUCAAGUUGCUAGAGAGGCCCUGGCAUAAAUACAUUAAGGCAGAGGUGGUGCACAGAAAUUGGAAGUAACCGGGGACCUCGUUUGGCCACUGCAAAAACAUGAAGAUGGUCACCGACAGGACGCUCAUGAGAUCAUCCACAGACCAGGAAGCCACAAGCAUGGACACAACAGUUCUGUUCUGCAUUUUCAGCAGGGAAAUUAGUGAAUAAAUGCUGCCCACCAAGGCUGCAAAAGUCAUGAGACAUGUCAAGCAAAAAAGAUAGAUAUUCAGGGUUCCUGGCGGAUUUAAAAGGUCCGUAGAAUUAUGAUUCUCUUUCCACAGGC
RNAcentral lists this long non-coding RNA (1099 nucleotides) under Homo sapiens (human). RNAcentral describes it as "HSALNT0062582". Lineage: Eukaryota; Metazoa; Chordata; Mammalia; Primates; Hominidae. The record is from RNAcentral.